This 1342-nucleotide ribosomal RNA is filed under the name uncultured bacterium. RNAcentral's name for it is "bacterial SSU rRNA". It matches the Rfam family "Bacterial small subunit ribosomal RNA", at positions 28 to 1381 of the family's 1533-position model. The record is from RNAcentral.
GAUGAACGCUGGCGGCGUGCUUAACACAUGCAAGUCGAACGAUGAAGCCCAGCUUGCUGGGUGGAUUAGUGGCGAACGGGUGAGUAACACGUGAGUAACCUGCCCUUAACUCUGGGAUAAGCCUGGGAAACUGGGUCUAAUACCGGAUAGGAGCGUCCACCGCAUGGUGGGUGUUGGAAAGAUUUAUCGGUUUUGGAUGGACUCGCGGCCUAUCAGCUUGUUGGUGAGGUAAUGGCUCACCAAGGCGACGACGGGUAGCCGGCCUGAGAGGGUGACCGGCCACACUGGGACUGAGACACGGCCAGACUCCUAGGGGAGGCAGCAGUGGGGAAUAUUGCACAAUGGGCGCAAGCCUGAUGCAGCGACGCCGCGUGAGGGAUGACGGCCUUCGGGUUGUAAACCUCUUUCAGUAGGGAAGAAGCGAAAGUGACGGUACCUGCAGAAGAAGCACCGGCUAACUACGUGCCAGCAGCCGCGGUAAUACGUAGGGUGCGAGCGUUAUCCGGAAUUAUUGGGCGUAAAGAGCUCGUAGGCGGUUUGUCGCGUCUGUCGUGAAAGUCCGGGGCUUAACCCCGGAUCUGCGGUGGGUACGGGCAGACUAGAGUGCAGUAGGGGAGACUGGAAUCCCUGGUGUAGCGGUGGAAUGCGCAGAUAUCAGGAGGAACACCGAUGGCGAAGGCAGGUCUCUGGGCUGUAACUGACGCUGAGGAGCGAAAGCAUGGGGAGCGAACAGGAUUAGAUACCCUGGUAGUCCAUGCCGUAAACGUUGGGCACUAGGUGUGGGGACCAUUCCACGGUUUCCGCGCCGCAGCUAACGCAUUAAGUGCCCCGCCUGGGGAGUACGGCCGCAAGGCUAAAACUCAAAGGAAUUGACGGGGGCCCGCACAAGCGGCGGAGCAUGCGGAUUAAUUCGAUGCAACGCGAAGAACCUUACCAAGGCUUGACAUGUUCUCGAUCGCCGUAGAGAUACGGUUUCCCCUUUGGGGCGGGUUCACAGGUGGUGCAUGGUUGUCGUCAGCUCGUGUCGUGAGAUGUUGGGUUAAGUCCCGCAACGAGCGCAACCCUCGUUCCAUGUUGCCAGCACGUAAUGGUGGGGACUCAUGGGAGACUGCCGGGGUCAACUCGGAGGAAGGUGAGGACGACGUCAAAUCAUCAUGCCCCUUAUGUCUUGGGCUUCACGCAUGCUACAAUGGCCGGUACAAUGGGUUGCGAUACUGUGAGGUGGAGCUAAUCCCAAAAAGCCGGUCUCAGUUCGGAUUGGGGUCUGCAACUCGACCCCAUGAAGUCGGAGUCGCUAGUAAUCGCAGAUCAGCAACGCUGCGGUGAAUACGUUCCCGGGCCU